GGGGGCGUGGCGAAACUGGUAUACGCAAGCGACUUAAAAUCGCUCGACUUCGGUCGUACGGGUUCGAGUCCCGUCGCCCCCA
RNAcentral lists this transfer RNA (82 nucleotides) under Insolitispirillum peregrinum. RNAcentral describes it as "Insolitospirillum peregrinum tRNA". It matches the Rfam family "tRNA". From Rfam's summary of the family: Transfer RNA (tRNA) molecules are approximately 80 nucleotides in length. The record is from Rfam by way of RNAcentral. Lineage: Bacteria; Pseudomonadati; Pseudomonadota; Alphaproteobacteria; Rhodospirillales; Novispirillaceae.